RNAcentral lists this ribosomal RNA (450 nucleotides) under uncultured bacterium. RNAcentral describes it as "partial 16S ribosomal RNA". It matches the Rfam family "Bacterial small subunit ribosomal RNA", at positions 354 to 796 of the family's 1533-position model. The record is from RNAcentral.
GUGGGGAAUCUUCCGCAAUGGACGAAAGUCUGACGGAGCGACGCCGCGUGAGUGAAGAAGGCCUUCGGGUCGUAAAGCUCUGUCAUCAGGGACGAAUGGCCGGUGGAGUGGAAAGCCACCGGAUUGACGGUACCUGAGAAGGAAGCCACGGCUAACUACGUGCCAGCAGCCGCGGUAAUACGUAGGUGGCAAGCGUUGUCCGGAAUUAUUGGGCGUAAAGCGCGCGCAGGUGGGAUCUUAAGUCCAUUUUGAAAGUUCGGAGCUCAACUCCGUGAUGGGAUGGAAACUGGGAUUCUUGAGUACCGGAGAGGAAAGCGGAAUUCCCCGUGUAGCGGUGAAAUGCGUAGAUAUGGGGAGGAACACCAGUGGCGAAGGCGGCUUGCUGGACAGAUACUGACGCUGAGGUGCGAAAGCGUGGGGAGCGAACAGGAUUAGAUACCCGUGUAGUCC